AAUUAGUCCUGUGUAUUUAAGUCCGCGUUAAAAUAUAUUUCCCCAGUCCAGUCAUUUUAUGUAGAGUGGUGUGUUUUCCUAAUUAAACCCCGUAUUCUCUCGUUUCCUCGACUCUUGUUCCUGCUUCCCCGGUCCGUGCCCCGGCGAUCACGACAGAGAGCCGAAAACAGACAGGUUCCAUUGAACUUAGCCAGGAAAACGUAGCCAGGUUACACAGGUCCUAUUGAACCAGUUUCAGAAUGUAUUCACUGGGGAGAUUUCUAAGCACUUAUUGGAGGACAGGUCAAGCGACAUGCUAAAGGUCUCUGGGUCGAAGGUCCCUGGGCCCAAAGUUUACCUUGACACUGGGGCAGCAGAACUGACCACCCACAUCCAGCCUUGAGCAGAACAUACAAGAUCACGCUGG
Long non-coding RNA from Brienomyrus brachyistius, 406 nucleotides. RefSeq lists it as uncharacterized. The transcript has 3 exons. Lineage: Eukaryota; Metazoa; Chordata; Actinopteri; Osteoglossiformes; Mormyridae. The record is from RefSeq and is a predicted model, not a curated record.